CCUGUCUCCUGCAGGAGACGUCACUUCUUGAUGUCCCCGACUUGUAUCAGAACUAGUUAGAUGAGAACAGUCAUGGUCUCAGCCAUAGUAGCAUCUCAAACUUCCCACAGCCUGCUCUCAAUACCACAUAUGGGCUGUCCUACCCUGGGCCUCCCCAUCUCAGUUAAUGCUGCUACCAUGUGCUUAGCCCACACGACUGGAAGUUACAGCCUUGACUGCUUUCUCCCCUUCAUACCCAACAUCCAGUCCUUUAGCAAAUCCUAUUACCAGUUCUCAAUCUCCAUUUUCAUCCUGCCAUCCUCAAUGCCACCACUUUAACCAGGUUCCUCCCAUCUCUUACCUGGAUAACCGGAAUCUUCCUAACUGAUAACCCCUACUUCUUGCUGCUGGUAAUCCGUUUCAGACAGCUGCCAGUGAUUAACACAAACACUCACAAGCUUCGAUUGCUGAUGCCUUCGCAUCCUCCUUGGGAUAAAUCUCCAUUUCAUCAUUAACAAGGUCCCACAGAAUCUAGCUCCUGUCGAUCUGUGUCCCCAUCUAACCACUGCCACUACCCCACCUGCUCAUUUUGUAUUUCAGCCGCAUUCUUUCUGUCUCAAACCCAUUCCUACCUCAGAACAUUUACACUGGCUGUUCCUUCCACUUGGGGUGUGUGCAAUUUUUGUACAGACUCCGUUAGUUCAGGCACGUGCUCAGAUGUCACUUCUCACAGGCCUUCCCUGACUCCUGAACCCCAAGUUGCCAGUGAGCGCCAUACUGAAUUCAGGCACAGGGCAUGAGUUAUAUCAGAUGGUUGGAGCAUUACUGUACUGGGGCAUGAAGUUCUCCAAGCUUGUUUUCAGUGCUUUAUCCCAGGAGGACUAGAAAGCCUCAGGCAUGUGACAGCCUUAUAGCCGAGGGAUGGAUCCUUCUGGAGUCUUUCAAAAGAAACUACAACCUAGGCAGACAGCAUGUGUCAGAGCAGACACUUUUCCUGAUAGAAGCCCCUAGAUGCAUUUUUUAUUGGCUUGGAUCUCUGAGACUUGCUUAGAUCAAAGCACUUUUAAGACCUAAGUUAGAGCAAGAACAGUUGGGUUUAGAAAUCAGCCCCUAGGACAGGUCCACUGUCCCUCUAGCCCAAUCUUGGGUCUAGUAGGGACUUCAAGGAAGUAUUCAGUCUCUCCUGGACGACCACCAUGAUGCCAAUGCAAGUUCUGAUUACUAAGCCACCCACGCUCCAACUUCCUACAAGUUUCCUUCAUCCAUGACUGAGAUUCUCUCCCCAGAGCCCCCAAUUGCCACACAGCGAUAGGCAAAAGCCUUCAGGGCUGUGACAGUGUCACAAAGCUGGCCCACCUGAUACAUCUGGCUGUUUACAUAAGGCCACGGAGGGCAAUCAAAGCCAUUAGUUGAUGGGAACCCAACAUUCUGGAGUUGUACUAGUUAUAAGGUGUUGGGCACAAGGUCACAGCCAUGGGAACUGGGUGAAACAAGACGUUGGACUGAAGUCAAAGGUUCCUUAGGGGAGGAAGAGGGGGCACUGGGGUUGGGAGGAGAAGGGGGUAACUGAGUAGGCAGGGGUGUGUAGGAGAAACAGCCCGAUUCCCACAGCAGAAUCUCUUGGGGCACAAUGAGUGACUCAUGAGAAAUCACUCCUUGUUUCACGUAUGAAGAUGGUCGAGGCAUGAUGAAUGCUCAGAUCAAGAUGUUGGUAGUCACAGCUACCAUCUACCCAGGUAUUAACAGAUGUGUGGAAUUCAGAAGGACGCCAAGGAGAUAGUUCUGAUGACUCCAACAAGCUGGGCUAAACUAAGUUCAGACUUUGCAGUUGUAGGUUAUGGGACCCUGGGCAAGUGGUUUCAUCCCCCAAAGUAUUUCUCAUUUAAAGAGGAUGAUGACAGUCCCUAGUAAUGGGGUAAUAAUGAUCCACUGAGAAUGCCAUCCCAAUGGGGCACAUCUAGGUUUUGUGGAGAUUAAGUUUCUAAGACAAACAAGACUAAAUUUGGACUACAGAGCCCAGUUUCAGCUUCAACUUCAUGAUAAACUUGUUAAUUCAGAGGCAGGUCAGUACUUAGUACAUACUAAUCGCUCAUCACGUGGGAGCUGUUGUUACCAGCAGUCUGAUCAGGAAAGAAUCAUCCUAGAGCUGUGAAGUGACUUGCUAUGCUACCACCGAUAAACACAAGUAGUGGGGCUGACACCCAAUGGGUCCUGUGAACCCCCAGUUCACACCCAUGUGGAUCAUUGAUCAGAGGAUGUAGGUGAUGGUCGAAGGGACCCCAGGCCACACAUCUGUCCUCACAUCUGUUUCAGCACCCGAGUCAGUCUUGGUUUCCAAAGUUAGAGGCCCUUUAAGGGGGAAGACAGGAUUAUCGAAGGGCAACUCUUGGUCGAGAGUUGAGUAUAAGUUGAUUCAGUUAUAGGAGCCACGCAUUCAUGGGGACCAUCUGACUUCCUAUAUAUGUAAUUGUUCUCUCGAAGGAGGUUCCCCCAUAACUGCCCCCCAGUCACACAUCAUAGCUUCACUCUCAUCUACAUGAGACUUCAGCUCCAUCUCAUUCUAAGUAAUCCGCGGUUCUGGGUUUGUGAGACAGACCACCCACUUAGCCCAGUUACUCUUUUCACACCAAGCCGUGUCAUCUGUUAGCAAUAAGCCUUGGUCAUCCGUGGGUCCUGUGUCUACCCAGUCUGGUCAGUGUGGCCAGGGUCAUGAGACACACCAUAAGGUUCCCAGCCCUUAAGUUAGGGCUGGGUAACGAUUGCACAGCUAGAAGUCCCACUAGGGCCAAAAUAUACCAGGGCCUCGGCUCAAUGAGUUGGAGCCCUAGGAAGCAGUGUAGGCCAAUAGCAUGUCAUUUGAGGGAUCAUAGACUAUGAACGUGGACCCUCCUGAGGGCCACGCAGAAGAGACAAAGGUUUGGAUUUGCUUUAUAACCCGUUCUAGUUGUGGGAAGGACAAAGGUAACUGGGCGCCAAGAUCCACGAACACCUCCCCCUACCCUCAUGGGUCAGUGACCACCAGCCUUAGGCCUGAAGCUUAACAUCCUCAGGGCGCUAUUUAGAAGAUGUCAUACCAGUCAAGUGCCAGCCGUUGUAUACAGAUUACUCCAGCUAACAGGGCCAUCCCUGCUCUUAAGGAACUCACAGUCCAGUGGGGGAGAAGGAAUGGUGUUAGGGACAGGAGGCGAGUGAGCACACUGCUUACCCUUUAGCCUGUGCAAGUUCCAGCUGCGGCCAAGAUGGCCGGUUCUAGGCAGGGACAGCAUGUUGCCUCAAAGCACAGCUUUGUUUUCUGCCCAAAGGCGCAUCCCUCAUCACAGAUGCAAGUAUGUACCU
Molecule: long non-coding RNA, 3315 nt
Filed under: Equus caballus (horse)
Lineage: Eukaryota; Metazoa; Chordata; Mammalia; Perissodactyla; Equidae
Description: lncRNA (ENSECAG00000051972.1)
Source: RNAcentral